This 1121-nucleotide unclassified non-coding RNA is filed under the name Hevea brasiliensis (rubber tree). The record is from RNAcentral. Lineage: Eukaryota; Viridiplantae; Streptophyta; Magnoliopsida; Malpighiales; Euphorbiaceae.
AUAUUAAAAUCAAAAUUAUCAUUAUAUUACGCUGCCUAUAUUUUUAUUUUACAACUAAAUAUAGGAAUGUAAUGGCAAUUAUAUAUUACAUUACAUAAUUGAUUGCAUUGCAUUAUAUUAAAUAAUUGAUUACAUUGCAUUACAUACGUUCUAUCAAACAUAACCUUAAAGCACAGGAUGAGAAUUAAAAGGAAAUAUGUUAUGGGCCUUAUCUCUUUGUACCAACACUCUGCCAACAUUCUCAUUCUUGUUAAAGACCUCUUAUCCCGUCACAGCUUUAUUAGUUCAAAACUCUCCUUUUCCAUUUCUAAGGUGACUAAGAACUUUCUCUUAAGGAUUUUAUGGAAAAGAGUAUCCCCGAAUUUGGUCUGAGAAGUCCUGAAAAAAUCCAACUUCUUAUUGAUGGCUUGGGAAGCUCUGAACAAGCUGAAUAUUACAUGACCUUGUAUGAUGAUAGGAGUGCCAUUGUUGCUGAACAAAGGCAAAUAUUUCUAGUUUAUAUCUGUAGCUCAUAUAAUAACUCCUUAAAAUGCCCAGACUCUUAAUUUUUCAUGAGCUUGCUGUACAUCAUACUGAUAAUAAGGGAACAUCAUGAUUAAGUGAGACCUGUAAACUGUGUGCUGAAAUUAAUGAAUGGAAAUGUAAUUAAUCUAAAUCAGGUGAGAAACUGCCAAAUGUGUCAUAAUCGAUGGACCAAGUGAUUUUGGUCUUGAUUCUGGCAUUGGAAUAUAUGAAUGAAACCAAAAUUUCAACUAGAGCUAUUAUUAGAGAUGGUGGUAAGCAUGUAAUUUGGUAUCUCUUGAGAAGGAGAAUAACUGGGGGUGAAUGACUGCAACAUGGUGUUGGUAUGUUCUCUAACAGGUCAUUUACCCUUUCUUGUCAUUGGUGUGAUGUGCUGUUGUUGCAGGUGCAUGAUUGGGCAAUUCACUGCAGAAUCAAAUAAUAUUGUUAGGUUUUUUGGAUAAGAGUUUGAGUAGAUGCUACAGAUCCUAGUGUGAAUAUAGGCUUAUCAAAUAUAAAUUAGGAUGUGUUUUUUGAUGCAGAUUUCUCAUCUUACAUAGUUAUGUUUUAUGAGAUAUAAUUUUCAAUUUUUCCAUCAGGCAGCUCUUAUCUCAACCAUA